This 289-nucleotide ribosomal RNA is filed under the name uncultured bacterium. RNAcentral describes it as "partial 16S ribosomal RNA". It matches the Rfam family "Bacterial small subunit ribosomal RNA", at positions 775 to 1067 of the family's 1533-position model. The record is from RNAcentral.
GGAUUAGAUACCCUGGUAGUCCACGCCGUAAACGUUGAUUACUCGCUGUUGGCAAUACACUGUCAGCGGCUAAGCGAAAGCGUUAAGUAAUCCACCUGGGAAGUACGACCGCAAGGUUGAAACUCAAAGGAAUUGACGGGGGCCCGCACAAGCGGAGGAGCAUGUGGUUUAAUUCGAUGAUACGCGAGGAACCUUACCUGGGCUUAAAUGUUGUUUGACAAUUGCCGAAAGGUGAUCUUCCUUCGGGACAAAUAGCAAGGUGCUGCAUGGCUGUCGUCAGCUCGUGCCG